ACUCUCUUGAAUGUUACAAGAAAAUUAUAUUCUUUCUGCUAGUUAAUUUUCCCUUGUAACUUGAAUUCUGUGGUUAAUUUAGCACAUGGAUGCCACACAAAUGUCAUAUUUUGCAUAAUUUCAGUAAGAAAAUAUUUGAUACUAACUAAGUAUAUUGGUUAGUGGCCUAGUGUGAUAGAACUAUCACUGUAAGCUCUGGUAAAGAACACGUUAAAAGUAGUACAGUUUUUAUUUUUAAUGCAAGUGAAUUCAGUAUAUGAUUGUAUUUACUGUGAACGAUACUCUGGAAUUUCCAAAGACAUCAAACCUUUGAUAAUAUAAGUGAUAUAUUGUAAAAUCAUUACAUUAGGAAAUUUCUGGAUCAUUCUCGAUGAAAUACGUACACAUGUAUCAAUGUACAGAUAAUAAUUUUUUAUGGUACCUUUUUCUUUAAUUGUUUUUUUUUAUGGAGUGUAACAUUUGCAGAAAAUAAAAAUAACUUUUCUACUAAAAGUUAUAUCAAAAGUAAUUUAUUUUUUAACACUGUUAAAUUCUUAAUUACAAUGCUAGGUUACUCUUGUUUGGAAGUUAUAACCUGGUAUAAUCUAGUUUUAAAAGUGUGAAGACUGUAUGAAAAUACUGUUCUCAAGUUGGUGGCUGAAUGCAGUAUGUUAAAUUUGUUCACACAGUUUCAAACACUGAUAAACUUUUUUUUAUUAAAACUUUAUAGAAAUUGUUUUUCAAAAGUUAACUGUUUCACAUGGGAGAUAGUCUUAUUCAUUAUAAUUUUAUCUUUUUGUGAAGUUUAUUCACUUACAGUGUCAAAACUAGAAAUGUAUUGAAAAAAAGGUGGUAAUGCUAACCAGAAAAAAAAAAAGCAUUUCUGAAUUUAUAUACAUGUUCUCAAAUAAUCAGUGACUUUCUUUGAGAAAAGUUUGUAUCAACAAUUUUCUAUUUCAUGUCAUACAAUAACAUUAUUUUUCGUUUGAAAUGGGGACUGUACUCAUAUUUUUUUUAUCCAUUUUACUUUUUGAAAAGCUGAUACAAUAGUUAAAGAAAAAUAAGCUUGACUGAGUAUAUUUUUGUUGCAAAUGUCUUUAGUAUUGGCCAUGCAAGUAACAUACAUAGUCAGUGUGUCCAUUUGAUCACUUUAGUUAAAUUCAUGUAUGCAUGCUCAAGAUAUCCAUGUUACUUGCAUUGAACGUAAUUUAUUACGAUGUCAGUUAUCUGGAUAUAAUGGUACAUGUUCUAUUAACAAAAUAUAAUUUAUAUGCAGGUCAGAGUAUUUGUUAGUUGUAACCACCAAAAACAAUACACAAAAUGAGGGAAAAAGUGUUAUCUAUUUGUUAUUCUGAAAAGUGUUAAUAUUGUGAUGAUGUUUUGUAUAUUUCAUCAGAGAAAAUCUGCAACUGAUAGAAAAAUGUUUGCCUGUAUUAGUUGUUAAUGUAAAUCUCAUUACGUCAAGAGUACGUUGACAAUCACCAUUUGUUAUCCAAUUCAUUGAAAUAUGAAGACCUUUGUAAAGUGCACAACUACUAUAUGUUGACUAUGCAAUGGAAUGAAAGAAGGUCCUGCUAGCUAGUAAGGUUGUUUGUUGGCAUACUGUUUUACUGCAUUCCUUUUUUUUUUUUUACAUGCUUGAUAGUUAUGUCAUGUUAAUUUUUGUUUAGGUAGUAACUUUUGGUGAUAUUUUGAAAUAAUUUUAAAGUUGAAUAUAAGUUUGCACAUUUCUAUCAGAUUUUUUAUGUUUGAUGUGAACAUGUUGAAUCAUAUUACAGAUAUAAGUCUAUUUUAAUUUUUUUCUUCAGAGAAAAAACUAUAUAUAUGCAUACUCAUGUGUGUGUUUUCGGGUAAUUUCUUGUUCUAGUUGAUGUCAUGCUUGAUAUUUUUUCUAGAAGCCAAGAAAUUUUAUCUCAAAAACAGCCUUUGGCUGCCAACAUAUUCUAAACAGUCAAAACUGAUUGGAACAGGAUGUUACGAAUGUGAAAUCUGCCAGAGACGGUUCACAGCCAAACCCAGUCUGAAGAGGCACAAGAUUGUGAUGCAUUCAGACAUUCGCCCAUUAUUCCAGUGUAACUUGUGCCCAAGGUUUUUCUCAUGGAAAGACAAUUUAGAGCGACACAAGCGUAUUUCACACAAUGACGUGUCUGUGGGCUUUGAUUGAUAGAAUAAUCCUUGUAUAGUGUGGAAAAUUGAGUGAUGGCUCAGGGCUUUCUGCAGAAACCUUUUCUCCUCAGAAGUUUGGAUCACAGAUUAUGUUGAUGAAAAGCAAAGGCUACAGAAGAAGAAUCUUGAGCAAAUAUUUGAGACCAUGUUGCCAGUACAAUCAUGCUCUAUUGGAUUACCAUGUAUCUUGGCAAUAGCCCUACAGCAUAGUUUCCAUUACAAAAGGCUCUCAUAUCUACACCACUCCUCCAUGUAAGCUUUCCAUAAUCCACCUGUUGUAUGAAGAGGAUGGUUUCCCAGUGCUUGUUUCAACAAUUGGAUAGUACAAAAAUCCAUAAGCACUGCAUUCAUUGACUUGACCAGUGUAGAAAUAUUUAUUUUUCACCACAGUCAAAAUCUUCAAAGAUUUGGAAAUGUGAGGCAUGCACAAGGACAUUUUCAUUUGCUGCAGGAUUAAAGCAACACAUGGAGAUGCACAAUGAUUUGACCCAUCGCUGUCCAUUGUGUCCUCAGACGUUCAAGUGGAAAAACAGCAUCUACCAGCACAUAAGGAUCAAACAUAGAACUCCUUCUUCUGAUUGAAGUGUGUGUGUGGGUUUAAAAAGACUAGCAUAAGUAACCAGUUUUUAUUAUUGUACUGAUUCUUUGUUCAUUGUCUUGACGUAAGAAAUGGAGCCAUGUAGUGCCCCAUUAUGAAAAACAUUAUGUGGUAAGAUAACUCGUGGAAAUUUUUACAUUGAUCUUUAUAUAGUGUGUCCAAUCACUGUGAGGAAUAUAAUUCCUGUAGCUUAGCUCUGACUAGACUUACAUUUGUUUCAGGAGUAUUUGCACGGGUUGUUAGAAUUUGCUGUACCAUCACUUAACCUCUUUGUGGGAUAAAGAACAUUCUCCACUAAUGAAUCAUCAGUACGGAAGUUAUAUAGAAUUCAUUAUAUAUAUUUUUUGAUUUAACUGUAUGUGUAAAAGUUUGUAGCUUGUUAUUAGAAUAAGCUUUUGGUGUAGCAGGUACCCUGUUACUUAGAAGUGUUCCAUUGUAUGUGAAAAGGUGUUGGUUGUAAUUCAUUGUAAGAUGAAAUUUUGUCCCAUAAAGAUAUCUUGUUCAACAGUUAGAUCUAUUCUGUGGGUAGUCUUAGUGCGAGUGCAACUUACGGGGCAGAAAUAUAUAUAUUUACUUUUUUAAAUUAUUUAUUCAAAUAGGUGUAGUGUUGGUCUGUCCUAAUUUGUGCCAGCUCACUCUGUUAUUCAAAUAAAAGAGAGAGAGAGAGAGAUCUAAUUUGGUUGUUUCUGUUUAUUAAUUCAUAAAGUGUCCCAGAGAGAUUUUCCAUUAACUUGUAUCUGUCUGCAAGGGCUUUUGGAGUAUCUUUAUACUCUGUGUUUCUCUUGAACACAAUUUGCUGCAAUUAAGAAAACAAAGGAAACGUAAAUUUCAGUUUCAGGAUUCAGAUGAAAUAUGCCCCCAGUGGCACAGCGGUAUGUCUGCGGACUUGCAAUUCUAGAAACCGGGUUUCGAUACCCGUGGUGGGCAGAGCACAGAUAGCCCUUUGUGUAGCUUUGUGCUUAACUUCAAACAAAUAGAUGAAAUACACAAGCAAAUAUGUAGUUGUUAUGCUCUAACAAAAAUAUUUCUCGAAUAUGAUCUGAAAUGUUUGUUUCUGAGAAAAGAAAUUAUUUUCAACUGAGAUAAUCUUUAAAGCAAAGUGGGCAUAAUUCAGCAUAUUUUUUUCGUUUACAUUUCUCUGUAGCUAUGUAAUUAAAAAAACAUCUUUUACUAUUAUUAUUGGUAGUCUUCCAAGUCAAAGUUCAACAAUAAAUUAUAAGGUUAACUUCCCACAUUGUACCGCCUACAGAGUACUGCUCAAGUUAAUCAGAACCUACACAGUACUGCUCAAGUUAAUCAGAACCUACACAGUAUAAGCACAAGUCAUUCAGGAUGUACAUGGUAUUUGCACAAGUCAUUCAGGACGUACAUGGUAUUUGCACAAGUCAUUCAGGAUGUACAUGGCAUUUGCACAAGUCAUUCAGGGUCUACACAGUAUGAGCACAAAGUUACCCAGGGCAUACACAGUAUAAGCACAAGUCAUCCAGGGCCUACACACUAUAAGCACAAAGUCACCCAGGGCCUACACAGUAUAAGCACAAGUCAUUCAGGGUCUUCAUAAAUAUAAGCACAAGGCAUUUGAGCCUAUAUAGUACAAGCAUAAGUGAUUCAGUUCGUUAUACAAGGGCAAGUCAUCACAGAAUACAAAGUAAAGUCAUUUAGGUUAGUAUAAAGGCAAUUAAUUCAGGUUAUCAUUCAGAGAACAAUGGUAAGUCAUUGGAGAAUUUACAGAAUGCAAGGUUAUGUCCAGUACUAUAGAGUAUAAGCACAUGUUACUGAGGGCUUUAGAGUGUACCAGGUCAGAUUGUCAAGCUGUACAGGGUUAUGAAGGAAAAUUAGUGGAGUACAAGAACAAAUCAAAAACUGUACUGGACACAAGGACAUGUAAACAUGGAGAAGAUGAUAGGACAUUAGUGGAGUACAAGAACAAAUCAAAAACUGUACUGGGCACAAGGACAUGUAAACAUGGAGAAGAUGAUAGGACAUUAGUGGAGUACAAGAACAAAUCAAAAACUUGUACUGGGCACAAGGACAUGUAAACAUGGAGAAGAUGAUAGGACAUUAGUGGAGUACAAGAACAAAUCAAAAACUUGUACUGGGCACAAGGACAUGUAAACAUGGAGAAGAUGAUAGGAUAUUUUUUUAGAGAUUAGAAUAUAUAUAUUCUGGUGGUGUUUAAGUAACUAGAAUAAUGCUGAUUAAUGUAAUUUGGAUAACGACCGAAUUAUUCUGAUGGGAGUUGAGAUUAUCAGAGUAGAACCAGACUGGUUAACCACUUGUUAACCGUAACAAAAAGUGGUUUUUGUUAAUCUAUCGUAGCAGUAAUCAUGUGGGGUCCAUUAUAUGCUUUUCCAUGGGUGAAGAUUCUCCGUUUGUAGAUGGAAAUCCAUCACAUCCCCUUCCUCAGGCAUGCUUACAAUGCAUGAUUUAAAUUUAACGUGAAAUAAACACGUUUUACAUUUUACUGCCAAGACUAUCCUAAUUUUUAGUGGUCUAAACUUCCAGCUAUUUUCAUUUAUACAAGAAAGGGGUCAUAACUGGUUAAUUCAGUGAUACAUUUUUCAUGUGCAACUGAGGCUUUAAAAAAUUAAUUGGGCUUAUGUGUAAAAGGUUUAAAAGAUUUAAUUAGCUUCAUGUGAUUAUUAGGUUGGUCCAUCUGGUAACAUGAAAAGUUGUGAUUUCUGAGUUUCUUUUUUUUUCUCCUACAAAGUCAAGUUAAAAUUGUAUUCUGAAAGUUGUACAAAAUGGAUCAGAAUGCAUCUGAGAAGACGUACAACCCCAGAGCUAUUGAGGGCUAAGCCCCAAAAGCCCUGACCAAUAGAUUUGUUUCAGGCAAAAUGAUCAUUAUACACUUUCACUUGUGCUUAUCCUCACAUUAACAUCUACUUAGUGUACACUUUCACUUGUGCUUAUCCUCACAUUUAACACCUACUUAGUGUACACUUUCACUCGUGCUUAUCCUCACAUUAACAUCUACUUGUGUACACUUUCACUUGUGCUUAUCCUCACAUUAACAUCUACUUAGUGUACACUUUCACUUGUGCUUAUCCUCACAUUAACAUCUACUUAGUGUAAACUUUCACUUGUACUUAUCCUCACAUUAAUAUAUACUUAGUGUUUAGGCAACAAUUAAACUAGGUUUAUAGAGUAUGUAUUAACCAAUAUACAAUAGCAAGAUUUACCUUAUUUACAGAAUGUACUAUUUUCGUUUAGUUUGAUAAUUGACCAGAGGUAAAUGAUGACAAAGUUAACCAUUGGUGUUUAUUCUUGCAAUAGUUACAAAUGAGAUUGGCUAUCUGUGUGUACACCUACAUUAAUAUAAUGAAAUUUUCUAUUAUUGGUCUUUAUGACAGGAUUCUUAAAUGAGGUGAAACUUUGUGUACAGUGUUUCAAUUAAUUUAAUGCUUAGUGUCCAUUUGUUCCUUUUUUGUUGUUGUUGGUGAUAGAAUUCUAUUUUGGAUGCAAUUUUUUAUUUAGAAAAAUUUCUGGUGAGGUUUGUUUUCAAGAAAUUAAUUUUUUUAUUUUUCUGAGGUCGCUUUUAUGAAAAUUAAACUAAUUUGGUUAAGUCUAUUUUAGUGUUUGCAACAAAUUUUAAAACUCGGAUCCUAAAUUUGGCAUAUGUCUUUCUUACUCUUAAAAAAAAUUACAUAGGUUAGUAUGACUGGAUUUUUAAUCCAAUGACUCACGUUUUUUUUGGCACAUUAUUGCAAAAUUACAUUGCAUUUUGGGACUGUAGGUGCAUAAACAGAGUGGUGGUUCAGUUACACAAUUUAAUUGGAGUAGCUUACAAGAUGGUAGUGGGUGCUGUUGACUAACUGUAGUCUAUUAGUUAAAAAUUAGGGAUGGCUAGAGCAUGUAGCCCAUGUGUAGUUUUGUGCAAAUAUCUAAAAUAAACAAGAAAUGUUAUGAAGUAUUCAAUGAAAUGUGAAGUUGAGUUGUUAGGAAAGAAACGGCAUGAACUAUUUCUUUUAUGACAGUCUGCUUGUGAAUAUAUAUAUAUAUAUAAAGUGGAAUAUAAAUAAUGAAACCAUAAGAACUGAGAGGCAGAUAUCGUAUUAGAGAUUCAUAAGGGUUGAGUAUGUUCAAAUAUAAAAAUAAGAAAACUCAGAUAAAGAAAUUCCUAAACAAAGCAGGUGUUAAAUUUAAUGUAUAAAAAAAAUAUCUGUUAAUGGAAAAAUUGACUGAGUUGGUAGCUAGAAAUCUUAUUAUUCAAUUGUUUUAAAAGUUACAGUUAUGGAAUAUUUAGAUCAGCUAAAUUAUCAUGAAAUGUUAGAAUUUUAUUAAAUUUCAGAAAUGGAAAAAUCAAUGAAAUACAGUUUUUAACUUGAUUGAUAAAGAUUUAUAAUUCUGACAGCUAAAUUUGUCACCCUAGAAAUAUUUCAUUACUAAAUCAAACGUAGCCUUGUAAAUCACUGUGGGACUCUUUACAAGUCUGUAGAAACAUCUGAUUAAUGUUUCUUGAUGUAUGUUUACUAAACAAUUUUUUUGACAUCUAGCCAUAUGUUACAGUUUAGAGAUACAGGUUAAGUUUUCAUAAUGUCAUAUGAUUUGGUUUUUUAAUUCAUUGUAAGCUUAACUUGUGAUUUUUAUGAUUCUAUGGUUUAUUUUUAAUGUCUUUUUGUUUUUAGCAUAUACAAUGUACAUACAAUCUUACAGGUCCAUUGAGAUGUUGAUAUUUUAUGAAUUUUUGUACUAUGUAUAUUUUUUGUUGUAAUUGUGUUUAUGUCUUAGGGUAGUAAGAAAUGUUAAUAGGUUUCUUUGUGCCAACUUCAUAUUAUUUUUGUGUUUAUAUUGAUUCAGCUGAAUGGUUUGAUAAUUAUAGAACAACAUUUUCUAAACUAGAAGUUGUGUCUACAAAAUAUCCAAAUAUUUUUCAGCAACUUAAGUUAUUGUGGUUGUAUAUUUGUUAUCAGCAAUUGAACAAUGAAUGUAACUUAUAAUUUAAAUUAUUUAAUGUGACCCAUCUUUGAGAGACGUUUGAAGCCAAGUUGGUGUAACUUUACUACUCAGAGACUGGCCAUCUGAAUUAUAUGAUUUUAUUUAAACGCUGUCUUAGAUCACAUCAAGAACUGAUCCACAAAAAUUGGAAAUAGUUUAAGAGUGGAGAAUAUAAAAUACAGUUUGUUUAAUUUAGUUUAAAAUGAGAAACAGUUAUUAGUUUUCUUCAUUUCUAAGUCAACUUAUGUAAGUGAAUUCAUCUAGGUGUUUUCAUGAAUAUUAUGUGGUGAUUUUAGUAUUCAUGUGAUAGUAGUGUCAUUUGUAUAACUUUUUUAGUGUCAGUUUUUUUCUUUCGAUAUGGCUUUUUCUACAGGUUAUUGAUGAUGCACAGUAGACUUGAAAAAUGUGUUUGUAUAGUUUCAGAAUGAAAUUAAAGUUAUAGAAAUCCACUA
This 8133-nucleotide long non-coding RNA is filed under the name Limulus polyphemus (Atlantic horseshoe crab). RNAcentral's name for it is "uncharacterized LOC111089409, transcript variant X4". The record is from RNAcentral. Lineage: Eukaryota; Metazoa; Arthropoda; Merostomata; Xiphosura; Limulidae.